Molecule: ribosomal RNA, 253 nt
Filed under: uncultured bacterium
Lineage: Bacteria
Description: partial 16S ribosomal RNA
Rfam family: Bacterial small subunit ribosomal RNA
Source: RNAcentral
UACGUAUGGUGCAAGCGUUAUCCGGAUUUACUGGGUGUAAAGGGAGCGCAGGCGGCGCGGCAAGUCCGAUGUGAAAACCCCCGGCCCAACCGGGGGACUGCAUUGGAAACUACCGGGCUGGAGUGCCGGGGAGGUAGGCGGAAUUCCUGGUGUAGCGGUGAAAUGCGUAGAUAUCAGGAGGAACACCAGUGGCGAAGGCGGCCUACUGGACGGUGACUGACGCUGAGGCUCGAAAGCGUGGGGAGCAAACAGG